GGGGAUGUAGCUCAGAUGGUAGAGCGCUCGCUUAGCAUGCGAGAGGUACUGGGAUCGAUACCCAAUAUCUCCA
Molecule: transfer RNA, 73 nt
Filed under: Cordylochernes scorpioides
Lineage: Eukaryota; Metazoa; Arthropoda; Arachnida; Pseudoscorpiones; Chernetidae
Description: tRNA-Ala
Rfam family: tRNA
About the family: Transfer RNA (tRNA) molecules are approximately 80 nucleotides in length. Their secondary structure includes four short double-helical elements and three loops (D, anti-codon, and T loops). Further hydrogen bonds mediate the characteristic L-shaped molecular structure. tRNAs have two regions of fundamental functional importance: the anti-codon, which is responsible for specific mRNA codon recognition, and the 3' end, to which the tRNAs corresponding amino acid is attached (by aminoacyl-tRNA synthetases). tRNAs cope with the degeneracy of the genetic code in two manners: having more than one tRNA (with a specific anti-codon) for a particular amino acid; and 'wobble' base-pairing, i.e. permitting non-standard base-pairing at the 3rd anti-codon position.
Source: RNAcentral